RNAcentral lists this unclassified non-coding RNA (387 nucleotides) under Chuquiraga jussieui (chuquiragua). Its description in RNAcentral is "partial external transcribed spacer". Lineage: Eukaryota; Viridiplantae; Streptophyta; Magnoliopsida; Asterales; Asteraceae. The record is from RNAcentral.
CCUUUUCAGUUGUGCGGCAAGGUUCUUCCUUGCGCAUCCGACGGGUUUCCUGUGUUGUAUACCUAUUUGACGGAAUUACAUCGUGAUAUCAAUGUCCCUUUUCAUCAUGCGUCGUGCACACGACGUGGGGUGAACCUCGAAGCGGUCUCUGUGCUCCGUCUUACCAACGCUGUAGCGUUGGCGAAAUGGCUCAUCGAGCAUCGCUUGGUCUCUCGGAUGCGGAACCUUAAUCGGGUACGGGGCUCUUGCGGCCUUGUGUUACCCUUAUCGAGCGUUCUCGCUUCUCCAAAACGACCGUCGUUCGCACGUCGACUCGUUCGUGUGCGAUCGACGACGUCGAAGAGGAAUGCUACCUGGUUGAUCCUGCCAGUAGUCAUAUGCUUGUCU